GUGGGGAAUCUUCCGCAAUGGACGAAAGUCUGACGGAGCAACGCCGCGUGAGUGAUGAAGGUCUUCGGAUUGUAAAGCUCUGUUAAUCGGGACGAAAGAGCCUAGUGUGAAUAAUGCUAGGAAGUGACGGUACCGGAAUAGAAAGCCACGGCUAACUACGUGCCAGCAGCCGCGGUAAUACGUAGGUGGCAAGCGUUGUCCGGAAUUAUUGGGCGUAAAGCGCGCGCAGGCGGAUCUGCCAGUCUGUCUUAAAAGUUCGGGGCUUAACCCCGUGAUGGGAUGGAAACUACAGAGCUAGAGUAUCGGAGAGGAAAGUGGAAUUCCUAGUGUAGCGGUGAAAUGCGUAGAUAUUAGGAAGAACACCAGUGGCGAAGGCGACUUUCUGGACGAAAACUGACGCUGAGGCGCGAAAGCCAGGGGAGCGAACGGGAUUAGAUACCCCUGUAGUCC
This 450-nucleotide ribosomal RNA is filed under the name uncultured bacterium. Its description in RNAcentral is "partial 16S ribosomal RNA". It matches the Rfam family "Bacterial small subunit ribosomal RNA", at positions 354 to 796 of the family's 1533-position model. The record is from RNAcentral.